AACGCACCUUGCGCUCCCUGGUAUUCCGGGGAGCAUGCCUGUUUGAGUGUCGUGAAAUCAUCAUGGUCAUGAUCUUUAAUUAAUCAUGGCUUGGUUUUGGAGGUUAUGUUGGCUUUUUAUUAAGUUGACUCCUCUUAAAUACAUUAGCUCAGUGUUUGGUGGCAUCACGGGUGUGAUAGAUAUCUACGCUCGCGGUUGUCUGCCAGGUAACCUUUGGUGACAAAGGUUCGCUGGAGCUCACAGAUGUCUCUCCUCGGCGAGGACAGCUUUUUUGAACGUUCGAUCUCAAAUCAGGUAGGACUACCCGCUGAACUUAA
This 317-nucleotide ribosomal RNA is filed under the name uncultured fungus. Its description in RNAcentral is "eukaryotic LSU rRNA". The stretch from base 1 to 52 matches the Rfam family "5.8S ribosomal RNA", at positions 103 to 154 of the family's 154-position model. Lineage: Eukaryota; Fungi. The record is from RNAcentral.